Molecule: RNA transcript, 672 nt
Organism: Branchiostoma floridae (Florida lancelet)
Lineage: Eukaryota; Metazoa; Chordata; Leptocardii; Amphioxiformes; Branchiostomatidae
Exons: 4
Source: RefSeq, a predicted model, not a curated record
UUACAGUAGCAUCAAAGCUCACAAGCUUUGCGAGUAAAAUAACUGAUCGUCUCAGCUUAUUUUUACAUCACAAUUUUUCAAGAAUACCUCCACGACGUCGAUCUACAUGGUCUGUGUACCCUUUCGCGUUAACUUUCAUGGUUGUUGGACACAACUCGUCCUUUGAAGCUGCGCAGUAGAUCAUAACAACAGCACAUCUCAAGCGUCCAUUUUUAGCGUUUCAUGUCCAGCGGAUUCGCCUUCCCAAGUGACGAGACAAAAUGAGAAGUCAACAUCGACGGCGUGCCCUGUUGCUGGUACCGCUAACAGUGGUUCCAUUCCUGCUGUAUUACACAUCAGCACGCUUCAUUCCUGGUGACAUGUUGUCCUGGAGUAAACUGGAAAUCCGCGCAAAUACUAGCAGCUCCCUCCUGGAGCUUGAAGAAGCAGGCAGUGACUACAGUGGAGGACUUGAGCGCGUUGCCGGUACUGCAAACUCAUCCAUGGAAAAGCCAAAAGCUGGGGGAACAAGGCCAUUGCAGGAAUUUGCAAAUUACGCGAAGUACAUACCGAAGGAAUCGGUUGCUUUGAAGAAGUUCUUAGACGACCAGGCAGCUGUGCAGUCCAUACCGACGGAGGCACCUGGAUGGGUCUAUAACAAAACAGCUGCAGAUUUAUUUCGGUAGGAGUCAC